This 548-nucleotide ribosomal RNA is filed under the name uncultured Bifidobacterium sp. RNAcentral describes it as "bacterial SSU rRNA". It matches the Rfam family "Bacterial small subunit ribosomal RNA", at positions 147 to 710 of the family's 1533-position model. The record is from RNAcentral. Lineage: Bacteria; Bacillati; Actinomycetota; Actinomycetes; Bifidobacteriales; Bifidobacteriaceae.
CUCCUGGAAACGGGUGGUAAUGCCGGAUGUUCCAGUUGAUCGCAUGGUCUUCUGGGAAAGCUUUCGCGGUAUGGGAUGGGGUCGCGUCCUAUCAGCUUGACGGCGGGGUAACGGCCCACCGUGGCUUCGACGGGUAGCCGGCUUGAGAGGGCGACCGGCCACAUUGGGACUGAGAUACGGCCCAGACUCCUACGGGAGGCAGCAGUGGGGAAUAUUGCACAAUGGGCGCAAGCCUGAUGCAGCGACGCCGCGUGAGGGAUGGAGGCCUUCGGGUUGUAAACCCCUUUUAUCGGGGAGCAAGCGUGAGUGAGUUUACCCGUUGAAUAAGCACCGGCUAACUACGUGCCAGCAGCCGCGGUAAUACGUAGGGUGCAAGCGUUAUCCGGAAUUAUUGGGCGUAAAGGGCUCGUAGGCGGUUCGUCGCGUCCGGUGUGAAAGUCCAUCGCUUAACGGUGGAUCCGCGCCGGGUACGGGCGGGCUCGAGUGCGGUAGGGGAGACUGGAAUUCCCGGUGUAACGGUGGAAUGUGUAGAUAUCGGGAAGAACACC